RNAcentral lists this long non-coding RNA (334 nucleotides) under Vigna radiata. Its description in RNAcentral is "long non-coding RNA (VRAD_LNC011092)". The record is from RNAcentral. Lineage: Eukaryota; Viridiplantae; Streptophyta; Magnoliopsida; Fabales; Fabaceae.
CUACAGGGACUGUCAUCACUGACUGAUGGGGCCUGUAGUGGCUAAAAGCGACAAAACUACAAGGACUGCCAUCACUGACUGAUGGGGCCUGUAUACAGGGACUGCCAUCAUGAUGGGGCCUGUAGUGGCUAGAAGCGAUAAAACUACAAGGACUGCCAUCAUUGACUAGUGGAGUCUGAAAGCCUAAAACCUGGCUGGAAACAUACUCCCCCUCACGACGAACGACGGAAAUGACGACGCGCCGAUGAUAGAUCGUGAAAGUGGAAGAUCAUAAUGAGCUCUUAUUCAUCAAAGCACCCAAAAGCAAAUCUGACAGAUUUGACAAAGGGUUGGU